This 406-nucleotide ribosomal RNA is filed under the name uncultured bacterium. RNAcentral's name for it is "partial 16S ribosomal RNA". It matches the Rfam family "Bacterial small subunit ribosomal RNA", at positions 30 to 526 of the family's 1533-position model. The record is from RNAcentral.
AUUGAACGCUGGCGGCAGGCCUAACACAUGCAAGUCGAACGAGUGGCGGACGGGUGAGUAAUGUCUGUGAAACUGCCUGAUGGAUGGGGAUAACUACUGGAAACGGUAGCUAAUACCGCAUACCAUCAGAUGUGCCCAGAUGGGAUUGGCUUGUUGGUGGGGUAACGGCUCACCAAGGCGACGAUCCCUAGCUGGUCUGAGAGGAUGACCAGCCACACUGGAACGGAGAAACGGUCCAGACUCUUACGGGAGGCAGCAGUGGGGAAUAUUGCACAAUGGGCGAAAGCCUGAUGCAGACAUGCCGCGUGUAUGAAGAAGGCCGUCGGGUUGUAAAGUACUUUCAGCGGGGAGGCGUUACCCGAAGAAGAAGCACCGGCUAACUCCGUGCCAGCAGCCGCGGUAAUAC